GUCUUUUUGAAAAUAAUUUAAAGUCUCGCCUGCCCCCUGAAAAUUUAAAUGGCCCCGGUAUAUUGACCGUGCAAAGGUAGCAUAAUCCUUAGUUUUUUAAUUGAAAGGUGGAAUGAAUGGUUGGAUAAAAAAAAAUCUGUCUCAAAUUAAAUUUAUUAGAAUUUUAUUUUUAAGUUAAAAAGGUUAAAUAGAUUUAAUAGACGAGAAGACCCUAUAGAGUUUUAUAAAAUUUGAAUUUAUAAAUUUUGAAGGAUUUAUUUAUUUUAAAUUAAAAUUUUAUUUUGUUGGGGUGAUAGAAAAAUUUAAUAAACUUUUUUUUUAUAAAAACAUUAAUUUAUGAAUAAAUGAUCCAUUUUUAAUGAUUAUAAGAAUAAAUUACCUUAGGGAUAACAGCGUAAUUUUUUCAGAGAGUUCUAAUCGAAGAAAGAGAUUGCGACCUCGAUGUUGGAUUAAAGUUAAUUUUUGGGGAAGGAGCUAAAAAAUUAG
RNAcentral lists this ribosomal RNA (486 nucleotides) under Amphisternus malaccanus. RNAcentral's name for it is "partial 16S ribosomal RNA". The record is from RNAcentral. Lineage: Eukaryota; Metazoa; Arthropoda; Insecta; Coleoptera; Endomychidae.